RNAcentral lists this ribosomal RNA (252 nucleotides) under uncultured bacterium. Its description in RNAcentral is "partial 16S ribosomal RNA". It matches the Rfam family "Bacterial small subunit ribosomal RNA", at positions 524 to 776 of the family's 1533-position model. The record is from RNAcentral.
UACGAAGGGGGCUAGCGUUGUUCGGAUUUACUGGGCGUAAAGCGCACGUAGGCGGUUUGUUAAGUGAGAGGUGAAAUCCCAGAGCUCAACUCUGGAACUGCCUUUCAUACUGGCAAGCUAGAGUCCGGAAGAGGUAAGUGGAACUCCUAGUGUAGAGGUGGAAUUCGUAGAUAUUAGGAAGAACACCAGUGGCGAAGGCGGCUUACUGGUCCGGAACUGACGCUGAGGUGCGAAAGCGUGGGAGCAAACAGG